This 378-nucleotide ribosomal RNA is filed under the name Planktothrix agardhii Os-Tar-S2. RNAcentral describes it as "bacterial SSU rRNA". It matches the Rfam family "Bacterial small subunit ribosomal RNA", at positions 28 to 433 of the family's 1533-position model. Lineage: Bacteria; Bacillati; Cyanobacteriota; Cyanophyceae; Oscillatoriales; Microcoleaceae. The record is from RNAcentral.
GAUGAACGCUGGCGGUCUGCUUAACACAUGCAAGUCGAACGGAAUCCUUAGGGAUUUAGUGGCGGACGGGUGAGUAACACGUAAGAACCUGCCUCUAGGACGGGGACAACAGUUGGAAACGACUGCUAAACCCGGAUGAGCCGAAAGGUAAAAGAUUAAUCGCCUAGAGAGGGGCUUGCGUCUGAUUAGCUAGUUGGUGAGGUAAGAGCCCACCAAGGCGACGAUCAGUAGCUGGUCUGAGAGGAUGAUCAGCCACACUGGUUCUGAGACACGGCCCAGACUCCUACGGGAGGCAGCAGUGGGGAAUUUUCCGCAAUGGGCGAAAGCCUGACGGAGCAAGACCGCGUGGGGGAGGAAGGUUCUUGGAUUGUCAACCCC